AACAUCCCACUAAAGAGUGAUGCAACUUUUUUUUUUCACUUCCCUUUUUUCCCCUUCAAUAAAUGGUUUUCCCUGAAAAUAUUUGAAGACUCAGCUUUGGAUGUAUAAAUCCUACAGUCAGUUUUGUUUAAACUUUAAAUAGGAAUAUAAUUUAUGCUUGGAAGAACUAUGGUUUAAAGAAAAUGUGAAUGUUCAUAAUUCUUUGUGGCAAUCUACUCUAGUUCUGGCCCUGCUCAGACUGUCAUCAAUCUGGUCAGACUUGAACUCAAAGUAGGAUUGUUCCAAAAACACAAAUACAAGAACUUUUGUAUAUUUUGGAUACGUGUUAAACUUUUGUAAUCGAGGGGUGCUAUCCAUCCUGUUUUCUUGUGUUCCUGCUCAAAUGCACCUGAUUUGAUUGAAUUAAUUAACAGAGGUAAUUCAUUCACUGCAUCAGGUGUGUCGGAGUAAAGAAACAAUGAAAACCUGCAGGACACCCCUGCUACACUGUUGUCUAUUCUUUGAAAUGGUGGUUGACCUAUUUAUUUAUUUAUUUAUGCAUGCAUGCAUCCCUCUUUACUUGACUGCCACAGUACUUCAUUGCUGCUUUUAAAGCAGACUCUCUCCCUUUUCUUUUUUACUCAAUACCUGCAAUGUGGUUGGUGCUUUUUCAGUUACACACUUAAUUUGUCUGGAGUCCCUGUUACUACAAGCAAUUCUGUCAUUGAGACAUUGAGAAAAAGUUAUCAGGGCAAGGGUUUCAGGAAGGCAUGAGAUUGACCUUGAUGGAAUGAAGCGUGUCAAGUAUAGCAUUGAAGAGACUAAGGUGUUCAAAGGCCUUGG
Long non-coding RNA from Austrofundulus limnaeus, 822 nucleotides. RefSeq lists it as uncharacterized. The transcript is spliced from 3 exons. Lineage: Eukaryota; Metazoa; Chordata; Actinopteri; Cyprinodontiformes; Rivulidae. The record is from RefSeq and is a predicted model, not a curated record.